UGGGGCAAUUCCAAAGAGUUCUUCUGAUUUGAGGAUAUAGAUAAAUGGCAGAACACUUGCCUAGCUCCAGGUUCAAUCUCCAAAAAAAAAAAAAAAAAAAAAAGGAGUGAUUCUAUUAGCAGUCCUUUAAAGGUGCAGUUCAGGGGAUAGAACCCAGGGCCUAGAACAUGAUAAGUGUGACAUCUCUAAUCAUUCAUUAGCUUUUCAUAAGGAUUUUCUUGGGUGUUCCUGCCCAAGAGUAGAGUUGUGCAUGUUACAGUCUUUAGUUUUAGUUGAAACACUGGCUAACUAAAGUGGGUGAUUCUCUCAUGAGCAUUAAUUCUUCAAUUAGCACCUUGGCUAACAUUUGAUAUUGUCAGACCCGAAGUUUUUGCCAAAUAUGUUAUUUGCUAAACUUAACAAUCCUAUCAGGUGUUUUUUUUUUUCAUUUCAGUUGACGACUCAAGUAUUCGAUGAUAAAUUACAUAAAAUAAAGUCUAUUAAAUAAUAAGCAAGUUGGAUCUGACCCAGGUCUGCAGGAUUGCAAAGCUCUUGGUUAACAUGAAGUCAUGUAGACAUGGCGGGACUCCCAAGACUGUCACUAGAGCUGAGUAUGGGCAAGUGUGAGAGAGGAGCCGAGAUCCGGGGUUUAGGAACCAGAAGUGCAGGAGGGACAGAGAGCAAGUGGACAGCAGAACCUAGAGAAACCACUUGUCUAUAGCUCUGACAUGCAAGGCUGGUGUUAGGAAGGGAAAAGCUGAAACACGGCCGUGGAUUCUUUGACCCUCUUUCCACAGUGUGGAACCUGGGCUUCCCUCCCUAAAGGGCCUCCGACCACUUUGCUGCACGGACAUUGUCAGAAGCAGCUAUUAGUCUCCAGGGCCAGGCCUUAAGACACUGACAGCUUCUGCUUAUCUCUCAGAUCGCUUCCUCUGUGGGAAAGUUGGGAAGUUACACCUUCCUGAGGAGAUGAUUAAGGCUUUGGAGAGACUGAGAAAGCCAUUUGAGGUCAGAGCCUGCACGAGAGGGAACGUAUCAUCCAGGGGUGGAGGAAGCACACGGAGACAUUCAACUGGUGCACCAGGCUGAGAGAAACAGGGUCUGGAUAUCCACUGCAUUGCUUCUGCUAAGGUCCCUCAUCCUCCUCUUGGGCUGUGAGAAGCUCUCUUUCCUUAGCUGUACUGUGGAGGCAGAUGCUAAGGGUUCAGGGCUCUUCCCCUGCUCUCCACAUGGGAGAAAGGCCGGAAACACACAUGCCUGUCUCACCUGAGGGGUGUCCCACUCUGCAUGAUGCCUGGUACCUGUUCGGGGCUGCAGAGAGGCGUGCUUGCCACUCCCAUGCAGGUUUUAUUUUAUUUUUAACUAUGCCUAGGUGUGGUAUCUGUGCAUAUGAGUACAGAUGUCAAUGGGGGCCAGAAGAGGGUGCUGGAUCCCUUGGAGCUGGAGUUACAGGUGGUUGUGACUUUUGAACUCAACUGGGGUCCUCUGGAAGAACAGUACCUGCUCCCAACUACUGAAUCGUCUUCCUAGCCCCGAGACCAGGACUUUCUUGAAAGCAACUUCUGCUGGACCUUAGGCCUCUGUCAGUCCUCAAGAAGCUCACCAGUGUUGGCUGGCCCUGUGUGCGUGCAUAUCACCGCCUGUGUCAUUAGGGAGACUGCUUAGCCCAGCUGCACAAGACUCCUAGUCCUUAGCACCUUUGGUGGGAAGUCCUCUUGGGCCAAGUGGGCUCCCGCGGAGCUCUUUCCAGCCAAGUCUCCGUAUGCCUGGUGGGCGGUGUAGAAACCCAAGUACCGCUUGGCAGGAGCUCUGCCGUGGGAACUGUUACAACCCAAACAGUCACUGUGUACACAGUGCUUCACAUGUCUCCUCCGUGUGCCUGGCAGCAGUCACUGGAAACUGCAAGACUCUGUGCAAGCCCUAGAAAUGUCUGUGUUACAGGAAGUGCCCGCGACUCACCGGACAGCUUGCUAUAGCAUCUUCUAGGCACCCGAAAAGCCACUGAGUAUUUCAAUUGUCAUCUUGAGGGAAACAUACCCAGGUCAGUCCUUCCACUACUGGUCUGAAAUUGAGAUUUUUUUUUGGUCAUCUGACCUCCUAGUGCCUUGCUCUGGAUGUGACAAUUCGGUUUCUUUCUAAUGAGUUUCCAGUUCAAGGUCAGAUGCAGUGUAAGAACACCUGCUCCAGGCGAGCCCCAGCCUUUGCACUCCAUUCUGGACUUUGACCGCUGUGUAGAGUGAAAUGUGGCCAGGCUGACUCACUACACAGCCUCCCAGACAGUGAGUGGGUGAUCCCUACUGAGGAGUGCAGAGCUCAUAAUGAUAAAACCUGGCAAGCUUGAACUUGACUACUGAUUCUGAGUAGCAGAGAAGGCAGCGGCAGUAUCCACAGGACCCCCACCCUCCCCAGCUCUUCAGGGUCUGUAUCUCCCCCUCUCCUGCUGUGGGCCGCCUCUGUCCCCUGCCAAGGUCUCUCACCACCCUGGCUUUCUUUGUUCCCUCCUCCAGAGCCCUAGACUGUCCGGCCUCACCCACAGUAGAUGCUGGAGUCAUCGAUGUCCAGGGCGGCUGUCUCAGUUUUUUCCCGGUUCUGUGACUUCUAUCCCUGGUCACUCUGGGCAGCUGGGUGGGCAGUGGUCAAGUGUGGGAGAGAAGAGACAGGAGGCAAAGAAAGAAAUGAGUGCCUGAACCUGGGUCUGAGGGCUUAGCUGAUGAACACUGAACUUCUGGGAUUUAAGCAUUCCAGAAUGUUCUUCCCCUUUAGCCAGACUGUGUUCUACAGGAUCUUUAGAUCCUCAGAGAAAAUGAAAACAUUCCCACUGUGAACCUAUUAAAGUGCAAAAUACUG
Non-coding RNA from Peromyscus maniculatus bairdii (prairie deer mouse), 2826 nucleotides. The record is from RefSeq and is a predicted model, not a curated record. Lineage: Eukaryota; Metazoa; Chordata; Mammalia; Rodentia; Cricetidae.